Gadus macrocephalus (Pacific cod) is the source of this 3321-nucleotide long non-coding RNA. RefSeq lists it as uncharacterized. The record is from RefSeq and is a predicted model, not a curated record. The transcript is spliced from 2 exons. Lineage: Eukaryota; Metazoa; Chordata; Actinopteri; Gadiformes; Gadidae.
CGGCACAGUUACGAUAAAUUGCAAAGAGCUUCUGCUCACUACGCAUAACAAUAAUGCUGUCAAACUAACCCUAAUAACCCCAAUAUUGAUUGCCCUUCCGGCUUCCUCUACAAAAGGAUCAUGAAAAUAAGUACAAUGCCCCUACAUUUUUUUUUACCGUUGAAAUAAAUAUAUACUUUGCUAUAAAAAAAAAAGGACAGGGAACCUGUCCUUUUUUCCGCAGGGAAGUCAUUCAUUGGAGGGGCCUGCGCGUGCGUGGAUGUGCGGUGGCGCGCAACGGGGACAUCGUAAAACCCGCUGUGAGGCUGCGAGGAGACAGGGGAGGGGUGAGAAGAAGAGGAGGAGGAGGGGGUCGAUGGGCCAUUCACUCAUUGUUAGCAACUCAAGGAGCGCUGAAGAUCCCGUCGGCACACGUGAAUUUUCAACCAAAAACACUGAGAUUGGCUCCUGAAGUCCAGGAACAGGGAAUAAGAAGACGGCUUCCCCUCAGGUGAUGGAGGUCUAGAAGCUCCCACAGCAAUGGAUGUCACCCAACUUUACGUCGGCCAUGUUGGAUAUCACCAAUGGACCCAAGCGGUUUCUUUGUGAAGCGAAACGCCCCCCAUAGCAUCUCAGCUAACCACGACGCCAUCUUACACCGAAAAUACCGUCCAAAAAGCACAGUGGAUUAUAUUUGCGGGCGUACCGCCCCCCUGUCUCCCCUCGUCUCCUUCAGUGGUGACUGUGACGACACCAUUGCUCACUCUACCCUCGGCCCAUGGAGUCCUACCCUAACCCCUGCUACCUCUAGCUUCUGUCCCUGGUCCUCUGCUCCCGUAACCCCCUGCUACCUCUACCCUACAUCCCUGGUUCUUUCCCUUUUAUCCCCGCUCCUCCCUAGCCUUAACCCCUAGCUUCCUACCUCCCCUUGCCACCCUUAACUCCCUACUCCCACUAGCCCCAAUCCUUGUUCCUUUCUGCUACUAAACCCCACACUGCUCCUUCUAACCUCCACCCCACUCAGCUCAUCACUUCCUCGCCCCACUCCCUGACUCCCCUGCACCUCUCCAGCCAUGGCCUCGUUCCUGGUCCUCACCGUGGCGUGGAUGCUAGCGGCGUGCGCGGCCGUGCCCAUGGACGCGGAUGCCAGCAGCCACAGCAUGUUCACGUGCGAGCCCAUCACGCUGCGCAUGUGCCAGGGCCUGCCCUACAACUCCACCUUCAUGCCCAACGUGCUGAACCACUACGACCAGCAGACGGCCGCGCUCGCCAUGGAGGUACGCUGUUGUGGCGCCAGAUUGUGUCCUAACUCAAUGCAGUGGUUUUUAUAUGUGUUUGGUUGUAUGGGUUCGCACGCUUUUAGAUGGUUGAAAGAGGGAUGGAAUGGGCGUAGGAAAGGCAGCGCGUGAUCAAACCUUCAGUCACUACAGUCACUUGCCUCUGUAGCCUACUACUUAUCCCAUUGCAUUGCUUUUUUUUUAUCCAAAUUUGAAAACGUUUAUAAUAUAUAGUUAGUAUUAAUUAUUAUGCAACAGACUGUUUAUCUUUAUAAACACAUUUGUAUAUAUUGGUGCUUUUUUAAAUGGUUCCUCUGGGUUAGUGUAUGGGAGAGUCUAUUUCAUAGAACUUCCUGUUCGUGUUGUUGAUAGCAAGAAAUGGUUUCUCUCCGGUUUGGCCAAUAAGACAUCUGUAGGUUUAUCCUCCACGUGGUUGAUGGCUUAUCAAGUACUUCUUUAAUUGUGUAAUGGGGAAGGACAUGUUUGUUUUGUAUCUCUCUCAUUCUUCUUUUUCACUGCGUGGCCUUAUAUGAGAACAUCCUGUCCUAUUGAUUAUCUGAUACUCAAAGAUGGUGAACAACAUAUCUGCUCAAGAACAAAAUCCCUUCACACAUCACACGCACAUUCCCAUAUAUAUGCUAAUGUUUGGACAGAGGUAUUCCAGGGGGUUUAUGAAAUAAUUGCCUCAUAUGAAUAUUUGGUUCGCUGUGUCUGCCUGGUGUACUGCCUGCCCCAAGGACAUCCUGCUGCUAGCCUAGAUAGCUAGCACCCCAGAAAGCUAACUGUUAGCUAUCUGCUCCGUGCCAGUUAAAAUCCAACUGUUCAACUCCUCUCACGUGAGGGACUUGGGGGACAACCAGAAGCAACACAAAGCAUAAGGCAGAAAACGAAAGUUUUACAAUUUGACCUGGGGCAGUACAAGAGAAUGGAGCAUCAAUAACUGCCAUUGUGUAAUCUGAAAACUGGGUGUGUUUCCCCAAAAUGGAUUCCCUGUCCCACACUAGGCGUGUUGACAGACCAGAAUAUUUAUAAUAUCACUCAGAAUAAUCCCGUCAUUUAAUAAAAAAAUUAUAAUACUUUUUACAUAACAGGAUUUGAGACCUGUCGGUCCACUGUGUACAGGAUUCUACAUGCUUACUAUAUCUCUCUCCUAUCUCUCUGCCCUGUCGAAUACUGCACUCUGUAAUCGAGGAGUUCAGCAGAUAGACUAAGCCUUAAUUCCAAUGUUUUCUCCAUGUUUUAUCGUUUUAACCCCCUCUUCUCUGUAGAUUAUCUCUAGAUUAACAACCCAUUAUGUCAUUCCCAACCAGCGCUUUAAUAGCGGCGUGGUAUGGUAGCUUUGGUAAUGCUGAGGUGAGCAAUUCAAACUCAGUCACAAAGCAGAUGCAGCCCUUCCUUAGUUUAAGCAUAUGUGUGCAGGAAGAUUACUGUGGUAUGAGUUUCAGUACACUGGGUCCACUUGCUCGAAAUCACUAUUGGUUUGUUCUAACUGAACAAACUCACGUCUAAUGAUCUAUGAAGUCAUGUAGUGCUGCUGUGGGCACAUAAUAUUGUGCAGUCGUCUGUAUUUUAGCUCCAUAAUGGAUUGGAUUUAAUGAGGUGUUAUUGAGAUACAUGACAUUGCGGUGUCACUGGUAAAUAGGGGCUUGUAAGGUCUGACUGAAGAGCUGUUUCACCAUCCCACCACCCACCUCCAUCUGUGUGCUAAUGGUAUUAAUGUAUCAGUAUACCGCUGGAGAGGGAGAGACUGAGGCCGACUGAAAGUGAGAUCAGGAGUUUUAAUGGAGGAGAGAGAGUAAUAGUGUAACAGCCAGAGAAAGACAAGGAUGGCGAGAGAGAGAGUUAGAGAAAGAUAAUGAGAGCAGCAGAGAGAUUGACUGGAAGUGAGAGAGACUGGGGGAAGAUGGAGGGAGAGAAAAAUAAAGGAGAAAGACAAGAAUAUAGAGAGGGAGAGAUACUGAGCUAAACAGAGCGAGAGAGAGAGAGAGAGAGAGAGAGAGAGAGAGAGAGAGAGAGAGAGAGAGAGAGAGAGAGAGAGAGAGAGAGAGAGAGAGAGAGAAAGAGA